CUUGACGACCAUAGCAAGGUGGAACCACUCCUUUUCCAUUCCGAACAGGACAGUGAAACGCUUUCGCGCCGAUGAUAGUGGGCUGCGCGCCUGUGAAAGUAGGUCAUCGUCAAGC
This is a ribosomal RNA of Paenalcaligenes hominis, 115 nucleotides long. Lineage: Bacteria; Pseudomonadati; Pseudomonadota; Betaproteobacteria; Burkholderiales; Alcaligenaceae. The record is from Rfam.